RNAcentral lists this ribosomal RNA (349 nucleotides) under uncultured Polaromonas sp. RNAcentral describes it as "bacterial SSU rRNA". It matches the Rfam family "Bacterial small subunit ribosomal RNA", at positions 1031 to 1382 of the family's 1533-position model. The record is from RNAcentral. Lineage: Bacteria; Pseudomonadati; Pseudomonadota; Betaproteobacteria; Burkholderiales; Comamonadaceae.
UAGACAGGUGCUGCAUGGCUGUCGUCAGCUCGUGUCGUGAGAUGUUGGGUUAAGUCCCGCAACGAGCGCAACCCUUGUCAUUAGUUGCUACAUUCAGUUGGGCACUCUAAUGAGACUGCCGGUGACAAACCGGAGGAAGGUGGGGAUGACGUCAAGUCCUCAUGGCCCUUAUAGGUGGGGCUACACACGUCAUACAAUGGAUGGUACAAAGGGUCGCCAACCCGCGAGGGGGAGCCAAUCCCAUAAAGCCAUUCGUAGUCCGGAUCGCAGUCUGCAACUCGACUGCGUGAAGUCGGAAUCGCUAGUAAUCGUGGAUCAGAAUGUCACGGUGAAUACGUUCCCGGGUCUU